Molecule: ribosomal RNA, 525 nt
Filed under: uncultured bacterium
Lineage: Bacteria
Description: bacterial SSU rRNA
Rfam family: Bacterial small subunit ribosomal RNA
Source: RNAcentral
UGGCUCAGGACGAACGCUGGCGGCGUGCCUAAUACAUGCAAGUCGAACGGUCUUUCUAUGGAAGCUUGCUUCCACUGAGAAGAUAGUGGCAAACGGGUGGGUAACACGUGGGUAACCUGCCCAUAAGAGGGGGAUAACAUCCGGAAACGGGUGCUAAUACCGCAUAGUUUUCUUGAUCGCAUGAUCGGGAAAGGAAAGACGGCCUUUGUGCUGUCGCUUAUGGAUGGACCCGCGGCGUAUUAGUUAGUUGGUGAGGUAACGGCUCACCAAGACGAUGAUACGUAGCCGACCUGAGAGGGUGAUCGGCCACAUUGGGACUGAGACACGGCCCAAACUCCUACGGGAGGCAGCAGUAGGGAAUCUUCCGCAAUGGACGAAAGUCUGACGGAGCAACGCCGCGUGAGUGAAAGAAGGUUUUCGGAUCGUAAAACUCUGUUGUCAGAGAAGAACAAGUUGGAGAGUAACUGCUCCAGCCUUGACGGUAUCUGACCAGAAAGCCACGGCUAACUACGUGCCAGCCGCCGC